CAAUAUUUACUAAUGUAAAAAUAUAACUAUUACUUAUAUUAUAUCUGAUUUAAAACAAGGAUUUUGCCGCACCUGAAUCAACAGUAAUGCAGUCUAUAGGCAUGUCGGUAUACGAAAUGCGCACGAAACAUGAUUUUACCUCGCUAAAAAUAUACUCGAGAUUACAUACGUAAAUACGACAUCUUAUCAAAACCCUACUCGUGAUGUAAAUAAAUUAAUAACCAAAGCAAAUAGGCGAGAAGAACCUUAUGUUAUCAGAAACACGGCAUGCAUGUCACUCAUACCUUACGCUAUCUAGCGAAUAAUUAUUUUAUACAAAAAUACUUUAUACCAUCGAAUACGACACUGCUAGAAGUACCUACACUACAUACUCGUACAAAACAUAUCAGAGAUUCUCCGUCCAUCCUGUCGGCAACUUAUUGUCUCCAACCGUAAACCAGAGUGGAAUGUUACGAACAACCGACUUACCCGACACCAGCCGCCACGCAAACUGCCAAUGUCACUCCAUACUCUUUCAUUGAUUACUUACAUUCAACCAAAACAAAUGUAUAAACACUAUCAAAGAUGGGAUGCAUGUCGAUAAUAUACACUAACGCUAUCUAUCGGAAGAGUUAUGUACUUUCGAGUACGUAUUAUGCAAGAUCUACCUAAGUAUAAACAACAAGAGAUUUACUAUCUAACAGCUGCUAUAUAAUGUGCACUUUUUAAGCGUCGUUUAGUUUUUACAUUUCUAUAUACAUUUAAGGAUGUAUACAUACAAUACAGGCAUGAUCGAGUUACUUUAGUUUGAAGUACCGUGAAGUACUAUCUAUACACCGUGUUUUUUUUUUAUUUUGGUUAAUUUCAAGGGUGCAUUCCUGAGCUUAAAUCAAGUAACUUUCACAAAGACACCGAUGUUCUAAUUAAGUCCAUUUCGGAGAUAAUCAAUAAUUUAUUUUUUUCCUAUAAUGCCUCUACAAGCGUCUACACUUGACUUAGGGCCGGUUUACAUAUUGAUUAGUGUUUAGAAUGAGUUCAUACAUUUGCUACUAAACUUAAGUACAAUCUCGGUCGACUGAUGUAUGAAAUGACAUUCAUAUGUCACAGAUUUCAAUUGUUUGGUUGAGUUAAAUGUAAUGCCCGUGUUACAACAACGCUAUAUGCUACAUUUAAUUACUUUUUAAACAAAAAAGAAAUAAAAAAAAAAAAAAUUUUUUUUCCCAAAAUUAACUAUGCCAUUUAGUUCUCUUAAAC
Long non-coding RNA from Cydia fagiglandana, 1233 nucleotides. RefSeq lists it as uncharacterized. The transcript is spliced from 2 exons. The record is from RefSeq and is a predicted model, not a curated record. NCBI's taxonomy places the organism in Eukaryota, Metazoa, Arthropoda, Insecta, Lepidoptera, Tortricidae.